RNAcentral lists this ribosomal RNA (496 nucleotides) under uncultured bacterium. RNAcentral describes it as "partial 16S ribosomal RNA". It matches the Rfam family "Bacterial small subunit ribosomal RNA", at positions 29 to 507 of the family's 1533-position model. The record is from RNAcentral.
AUGCACGCUGGCGGCGUGCCUAAUACAUGCAAGUCGAGCGAACAGAUGAGGAGCUUGCUCCUCUGACGUUAGCGGCGGACGGGUGAGUAACACGUGGAUAACCUACCUAUAAGACUGGGAUAACUUCGGGAAACCGGAGCUAAUACCGGAUAAUAUAUUGAACCGCAUGGUUCAAUAGUGAAAGACGGUUUUGCUGUCACUUAUAGAUGGAUCCGCGCCGCAUUAGCUAGUUGGUAAGGUAACGGCUUACCAAGGCAACGAUGCGUAGCCGACCUGAGAGGGUGAUCGGCCACACUGGAACUGAGACACGGUCCAGACUCCUACGGGAGGCAGCAGUAGGGAAUCUUCCGCAAUGGGCGAAAGCCUGACGGAGCAACGCCGCGUGAGUGAUGAAGGUCUUCGGAUCGUAAAACUCUGUUAUUAGGGAAGAACAAAUGUGUAAGUAACUAUGCACGUCUUGACGGUACCUAAUCAGAAAGCCACGGCUAACCACGUG